AAAAGACUGAGGUUGAAAAAAAUCAAAAGAGAAAAUUUCUUUGGAAAAAAAUGCUGAGUAUUUUACUUCUCCUUGGAUGAAGAUCUAAGGAGAUUCUGAAGGCUUUUAAUUUGAGCAAUGAUAUCAUUAUAUUCUGGGAUUUUCAUCUUUGAUCAUUUUGGGCAGCAAUUGUGACGAAUAGAUUGAAUAAGGAAGAAACUAGAAAUAGGAAAACCAGUGAAGAGACAAAGGAAUAUUAUUCAGUGCUAAAAAGAAAUAAGCUAUAAAGCCAUGAAAAAGAGGGAACUGAAACGCAUAUUACUAAACAGAAGAAGCCAAUUUUAAAAGGCUAUAUACUGUAUGAUUCCAACCAUAUGACAUUCUGGAAAAGGUAAAACUAUGGAGACAAUAAAAAGAACUGACUACGAACAGGGAAAGAAACCAGCAGUGAAUGGGAGGAGCCAUGAGAUAACUGAUCACCUGAAUAAUCAAGAAUAAGUAAUAGUCCUCAGAAGGAAACAGCUUUCCUGCGGUGAAUGAGGAGGAUGCUUUGUUCUACGCGACCCUUCUUGAUUAGAAGGACCUCUGUUCUAUGAAACAAUCAGCCUGACAGCCCAUUAAGUGUUACAGCAUUGGGGACCACUUCAGGCCAUCAGUAGCUUUGGGCAAACCAUUUGACAUUGUGGAGCUUCAAUUUCUUCACCAGUAAAGGACUCAGUUUAUUUAUUUUUAAGUACCCUAAUAUACCUGAAUUCUUUAUCACAACCUUUGGACUGCCAUUUAUACAAUGACUUUGCUAUUGCACUUCACUGGAAGAAUUGGGGAAUUAAAUUCUCAUAUUUUCCUCUUCGAUUAUCUACUUUUGGGAAAAUGUCUUAUUUGCAAAUCCACUGGUGAAGCAAAGAUGGUGCUUAUGCCUCCCUAUGCCCUUAUCAGAAGGAGAAGUGCACUUUCUUUCCAGUCUUUCCACACUACUGAGUUCUCUUAUGGCUUUUGGAAUUAGCACAGAAUAUCUGUAAUAUCAGAAAUAUGUAGAAAUGUA
Molecule: long non-coding RNA, 1021 nt
Organism: Balaenoptera musculus (blue whale)
Lineage: Eukaryota; Metazoa; Chordata; Mammalia; Artiodactyla; Balaenopteridae
Exons: 4
Source: RefSeq, a predicted model, not a curated record